AGGAAAUUGAAAGCCACGUGUCCUGCUUGCUUGGAAGUUACAGGUAAUACCAGCUUCUUGUGGGGCAAGGGCACUCAGGUUGGACUUCCAGAGCCAAGGUCCUGUCCCAGGGAGCACAUGGUUGGUAACAGAGGAGGAGGUUCUAGGCAGGGCUUCCACCUGGAAAGCAAGGAUAAGAGAGUCUUCCAGAUAGCACUCCUGGUACAUCUACCUGGAAAACUCAGCAGUCAACCUGGAAAUAGUUGCUGGAAUCCAAUGCUCUGUCCUUUCUACAGACUUCUCCAGGUGUUAAAAGAACUGAAGGCUCUUCUAACAAUCUGGAGGGCAGAUGUUGUUGGAGCCUUGUAUAAUUUUAAAGUAAAACCCCCUCCGUGAGCUCGUCACUCGGGGCCCAGGGUCACAACUGGGACAAAGAAGUCAUUCUCCUUUUCCAGUUUUAAAAGUGCAGCACUUUCCUGGCUCAGGCUCCAUGAUGUGAUCACAAGUCAAACAUCACCUGGCUCCUCUUUUGGUGUGGAACAGACUGGGCACUGGAACUGUUUCAAGCACAAGGACAUAAAUAGUCAAGUUAAGGUCACAAGGCAGAAAUAGGAAAGAUGCAGAGAAGGCUGAGAAGAAUAUAUAACAGCCUCUAUACAGAAGAAAAACUACUCAUCUGGAUUGUCACUCUCAAAAACAAGGUAAGAGGAGAAAUGAAAGUGGUCUAGAAAGUCAUGAGGGGAGAAG
This is a long non-coding RNA of Neopelma chrysocephalum (saffron-crested tyrant-manakin), 726 nucleotides long. RefSeq lists it as uncharacterized. NCBI's taxonomy places the organism in Eukaryota, Metazoa, Chordata, Aves, Passeriformes, Pipridae. The transcript has 4 exons. The record is from RefSeq and is a predicted model, not a curated record.